AGAAGUGAGAAUGCCGGUGUGAGUAGCGAAAGACGGGUGAGAAUCCCGUCCACCGAUUGACUAAGGUUUCCAGAGGAAGGCUCGUCCGCUCUGGGUUAGUCGGGUCCUAAGCUGAGGCCGACAGGCGUAGGCGAUGGAUAACAGGUUGAUAUUCCUGUACCACCAUUAUUCGUUUUAAGCGAUGGGGGGACGCAGUAGGAUAGGCGAAGCGUGCUGUUGGAGUGCACGUCCAAGCAGUGAGAUUGAGUGUUAGGCAAAUCCGGCACUCUUAAGAUUGAGCUGUGAUGGGGAGAGGAACUUGUUCCUCGAGUCGUUGAUUUCACACUGCCGAGAAAAGCCUCUAGCUAGAAUAACGGUGCCCGUACCGCAAACCGACACAGGUAGUCAAGAUGAGAAUUCUAAGGUGAGCGAGCGAACUCUCGUUAAGGAACUCGGCAAAAUGACCCCGUAACUUCGGGAGAAGGGGUGCUCUUUGAGGUUCACGCUUCGAAGAGCCGCAGUGAAUAGGCCCAAGCGACUGUUUAUCAAAAACACAGGUCUCUGCUAAACCGUAAGGUGACGUAUAGGGGCUGACGCCUGCCCGGUGCUGGAAGGUUAAGAGGAGUGGUUAGCGCAAGCGAAGCUACGAAUCGAAGCCCCAGUAAACGGCGGCCGUAACUAUAACGGUCCUAAGGUAGCGAAAUUCCUUGUCGGGUAAGUUCCGACCCGCACGAAAGGCGUAACGAUUUGGGCACUGUCUCAACGAGAGACUCGGUGAAAUCAUAGUACCGGUGAAGAUGCCGGUUACCCGCGACAGGACGGAAAGACCCCGUGGAGCUUUACUGUAGCCUGAUAUUGAAAUUCGGUACAGUUUGUACAGGAUAGGUAGGAGCCUUAGAAGCGUGAGCGCUAGCUUACGUGGAGGCAUUGGUGGGAUACUACCCUAAUUGUAUUGGAUUUCUAACCCGCAGCACUUAUCGUGCUGGGAGACAGUGUCAGGCGGGCAGUUUGACUGGGGCGGUCGCCUCCUAAAGAGUAACGGAGGCGCUCAAAGGUUCCCUCAGAAUGGUUGGAAAUCAUUCAUAGAGUGUAAAGGCAUAAGGGAGCUUGACUGCGAGACCUACAAGUCGAGCAGGGUCGAAAGACGGACUUAGUGAUCCGGUGGUUCCGCAUGGAAGGGCCAUCGCUCAACGGAUAAAAGCUACCCCGGGGAUAACAGGCUUAUCUCCCCCAAGAGUUCACAUCGACGGGGAGGUUUGGCACCUCGAUGUCGGCUCAUCGCAUCCUGGGGCUGUAGUCGGUCCCAAGGGUUGGGCUGUUCGCCCAUUAAAGCGGUACGCGAGCUGGGUUCAGAACGUCGUGAGACAGUUCGGUCCCUAUCCGUCGUGGGCGUAGGAAAUUUGAGAGGAGCUGUCCUUAGUACGAGAGGACCGGGAUGGACAUACCUCUGGUGUACCAGUUGUCGUGCCAACGGCAUAGCUGGGUAGCUAUGUAUGGACGGGAUAAGUGCUGAAAGCAUCUAAGCAUGAAGCCCCCCUCGAGAUGAGAUUUCCCAACUUCGGUUAUAAGAUCCCUCAAAGAUGAUGAGGUGAAUAGGUUCGAGGUGGAAGCGUAGCGAUACGUGGAGCUGACGAAUACUA
RNAcentral lists this ribosomal RNA (1619 nucleotides) under Staphylococcus pseudintermedius. Its description in RNAcentral is "partial 23S ribosomal RNA". It matches the Rfam family "Bacterial large subunit ribosomal RNA", at positions 1284 to 2903 of the family's 2925-position model. The record is from RNAcentral. Lineage: Bacteria; Bacillati; Bacillota; Bacilli; Caryophanales; Staphylococcaceae.